CUGCAGACCCAAUGACUCCAACUGCAUGCACUUGUGACUCUUUGCCUGCAGGCCUUCUCUGACCCGGUCAGAAACCUGGAGCGAUAGUGCCCUGAGAGUAGACCUCAAGCCAAGACUGAUGUGAACUGAAGCAAGAAAGUACCUUCUUUACCACUCAGGCUUUCUGGUAACUGAUUCUCCUGCUCAUAAACGCCUACAGGGAGCAGAGAGAGCAAAAUUUCCCAACAGGUGUUCUGCAGCCUAAGCCAUAAACGGGCUGCAGAUGUGUUAAUAUGCUGUGCUCUGUAAUUGUCUGAGUAGGUCUGGAGGUAGCUAAACCCUGCAGGAUGGUCACUCUACACCAGAAACAGGUUGAAAAAAGUUUGGUAAGUGUGGUCUUAUGCUCACUAUUUUCCCUGCUUGAACUCUUUUUCUCACCCUUUUUCUAAGUUAAAAAAUUAAUAUAUUUUA
Molecule: long non-coding RNA, 450 nt
Organism: Phacochoerus africanus (Common warthog)
Lineage: Eukaryota; Metazoa; Chordata; Mammalia; Artiodactyla; Suidae
Exons: 3
Source: RefSeq, a predicted model, not a curated record